AUUUAUGUAGUUUAAUUAAAACAUUACAUUUUCACUGUAAAGAUAUUAUAACUAAUCAUAAAUU
Molecule: transfer RNA, 64 nt
Filed under: Pycnoscelus surinamensis (Surinam cockroach)
Lineage: Eukaryota; Metazoa; Arthropoda; Insecta; Blattodea; Blaberidae
Also listed under: 2 other names
Description: tRNA-Glu
Rfam family: tRNA
About the family: Transfer RNA (tRNA) molecules are approximately 80 nucleotides in length. Their secondary structure includes four short double-helical elements and three loops (D, anti-codon, and T loops).
Source: RNAcentral